Molecule: non-coding RNA, 83 nt
Organism: Podarcis lilfordi (Lilford's wall lizard)
Lineage: Eukaryota; Metazoa; Chordata; Lepidosauria; Squamata; Lacertidae
Source: the annotation of a GenBank genome assembly
GGCCGGAUAGCUCAGUUGGUAGAGCAUGAGACUCUUAAUGGCUUCAACCAGAGCUAGGGCCUUUUCAACUCUGGCUCCGGCCU